GAUCACUACCAAACUUAAAAUCAGAUCCAACAAUAAUUCUUUUAGGCUGAAUUAGUUUAAUGUAAUUAUCAAUGAACUCUUGAGCUGAUAAAUUAUUAUUUAACAGAUCAUAAACUAGUAGUUGUUCAAGGCCACUUAAAGCUGAUAAUUGUUCAAUUUCAUCAACUUUAGGAUAUAGCAACCUUUGCUUUUUGGGAAUAUGGUCAAAAGUUAAAAGAUUAAAUCGAUCUGAUUGUUUAAAUAAUUUAGCAUGUCCUUUAUGGAUCCCAUCAAAAAAGCCAAUGACUAAAUCAACACCUUUGUUGACUUCUUUGAUUGUCUUACUUGUUAAAUUGAUAAUCGAUAACAUCUUUUAAACUAUAUUGACCAGAUCUUGUUCUUACCAAGUCUACCAUCAUGGCUGUGGUGUUAAAUUGGGUGGCUAGAUCAACCACGAAAGAACGAACAUAAAAACCUUUUUUAACAUCUAAUAAGAUCUCAGCAUAAUCAUCGUAAUAUGAAAUUAACUUAGCCUUAUAUAUGGUUGUGGGUCGCUUCUCUAGUUCGAAAUCUACUGCUUUUCUCGCUAACUGAUAAGCCCUAACACCAUUAACCUUAAGCGCUGAAAACUUUGGGGGAAGUUGAU
RNAcentral lists this non-coding RNA (625 nucleotides) under Mycoplasmoides gallisepticum S6. Lineage: Bacteria; Bacillati; Mycoplasmatota; Mycoplasmoidales; Mycoplasmoidaceae. The record is from RNAcentral.